This 852-nucleotide long non-coding RNA is filed under the name Marmota monax (woodchuck). The record is from RNAcentral. Lineage: Eukaryota; Metazoa; Chordata; Mammalia; Rodentia; Sciuridae.
AGAGUUGGAAGAGCACUUUCAAACUUCGUCCCUUCCCCCUCCGGAGUCCUCUCCCCCAGCGAGCCCCCCGACUUAUGCGUCGAGGUCCCCUCCUGAGGCCGGACCCCCAGUACCACCUGGGUCCCCAGAGAGAUGGGAAGGGGCCCCCGGGUGGCCUGCUCCCCUGGAGGACCCCCACAUCCCUCACGGAGAGAUCAUUUACGUGCCUCCCUCGGCCUGGGAGCCUUGGGGCGGAGGAGGCCGAGCUCGCUGCCCCGCACCCCGAGGCCCAGCCUGGGGGUCCAGCCCCCCUCCCAAGGUCCCUAGGAGCCUAUUGGGUGUAGGGUGUGGGGGGUCCACAAUGGAGGAGCUGCCCCAGAGGCCAGCCAGCCCGUUGGUCCUGGGCGUCCCAGGGAUGAAGAGAGGCCCUGAGUGCUUUCGAGACUUGGGGAAACGGGGUGCUGCAGGCCGGGCGAGGAGGGGUCCCAUUCCCCGGCUCGUGACUGAUCUUCGGGAAGAGUGCAGUUAUCCAGGGAGCCCACCGCCAUUUUGCUGGGAAGAUGCAACGUCUUUGUUAAAAUGUAAACAUUUCCUCCUGGAGCUCCGCAGGUACAGACCAAGUGGACAAGGGGCGCCACGGUCUGUGCGCAGUCCUGGGCUCGGGGUGGGGCUUUAGGGGCUCAGAUGCCCGCAGAAGGAACCCCAGAGACCCCAGGAGCCCUGCUCACGGUGCCAGGUCCUCUGGGCAGGGAGUGGGAUCCUUGCCGGGAUAGGACUCUGGGACGCUUGCUCCUGGGCCCCUCCCUCAAACAACCCGCUUUUAUUCCUUAGCAAAAAGGUCUGUCACUCUUUAAUUGAACAAUACACUGGCAG